RNAcentral lists this ribosomal RNA (600 nucleotides) under Brevundimonas mediterranea. RNAcentral's name for it is "bacterial SSU rRNA". It matches the Rfam family "Bacterial small subunit ribosomal RNA", at positions 36 to 685 of the family's 1533-position model. The record is from RNAcentral. Lineage: Bacteria; Pseudomonadati; Pseudomonadota; Alphaproteobacteria; Caulobacterales; Caulobacteraceae.
CUGCGGCAGCGUACACAUGCAAGUCGAACGAACUCUUCGGAGUUAGUGGCGGACGGGUGAGUAACACGUGGGAACGUGCCUUUAGGUUCGGAAUAACUCAGGGAAACUUGUGCUAAUACCGAAUGUGCCCUUCGGGGGAAAGAUUUAUCGCCUUUAGAGCGGCCCGCGUCUGAUUAGCUAGUUGGUGAGGUAAAGGCUCACCAAGGCGACGAUCAGUAGCUGGUCUGAGAGGAUGAUCAGCCACAUUGGGACUGAGACACGGCCCAAACUCCUACGGGAGGCAGCAGUGGGGAAUCUUGCGCAAUGGGCGAAAGCCUGACGCAGCCAUGCCGCGUGAAUGAUGAAGGUCUUAGGAUUGUAAAAUUCUUUCAGUAGGGACGAUAAUGACGGUACCUACAGAAGAAGCCCCGGCUAACUUCGUGCCAGCAGCCGCGGUAAUACGAAGGGGGCUAGCGUUGCUCGGAAUUACUGGGCGUAAAGGGAGCGUAGGCGGACAUUUAAGUCAGGGGUGAAAUCCCGGGGCUCAACCUCGGAAUUGCCUUUGAUACUGGGUGUCUUGAGUAUGAGAGAGGUAUGUGGAACUCCGAGUGUAGAGGUGAA